CCUACGGGAGGCUGCAGUGAGGAAUAUUGGUCAAUGGGCUUACGCCUGAACCAGCCAAGUCGCGUGAGGGAAGACUGCCCUAUGGGUUGUAAACCUCUUUUGUCAGGGAGCAACGCCGGCUACGUGUAGCCGGACUGAGAGUACCCGAAGAAAAAGCAUCGGCUAACUCCGUGCCAGCAGCCGCGGUAAUACGUGGGAUGCGGGCGUUAUCGGUAUUGAUUGGGGUAAAAGGUUGCGUGGGCGGAAUGCAAAGUCAGCGGUAAAAUCGCGGGGCUCAACCCCGCCCCGCCGUUGAAACUGGCGGUCUUGAGUGUGCGAGAAGUAGGCGGAAU
RNAcentral lists this ribosomal RNA (332 nucleotides) under uncultured bacterium. RNAcentral's name for it is "partial 16S ribosomal RNA". It matches the Rfam family "Bacterial small subunit ribosomal RNA", at positions 338 to 667 of the family's 1533-position model. The record is from RNAcentral.